RNAcentral lists this small nuclear RNA (79 nucleotides) under Homo sapiens (human). RNAcentral's name for it is "partial ncRNA". Lineage: Eukaryota; Metazoa; Chordata; Mammalia; Primates; Hominidae. The record is from RNAcentral.
AGAGAAUCACUGGAACCUGGGAGGUGGAACUUGCAGUGAGCCAAGAUCAUGCCAUUGCCCUCCAGCCUGGGUGACAGAG